This is a long non-coding RNA of Hordeum vulgare subsp. vulgare (domesticated barley), 515 nucleotides long. RefSeq lists it as uncharacterized. NCBI's taxonomy places the organism in Eukaryota, Viridiplantae, Streptophyta, Magnoliopsida, Poales, Poaceae. The transcript is spliced from 2 exons. The record is from RefSeq and is a predicted model, not a curated record.
GUUUGAAAUAUGUAGGAUGGUGUGGCUUGUCGAUGAUUACUAUGACAUUGAACACCGGGCCUACAUGAUGUUGGAGAAGAAGAUGCAUCUUGCACCGCCGAAGAUUCGAUCUCACGGGGCAUCGUCGAGUGCCAUGCCAUAUCAUGAGCGAUACACACCAUACAUCGAGAUGCCAUGACUUCUCCCGUUCAUUCACCUUGUCAGUCGGUCGACGCCAAACCUGAACGCUGCAGCAAUCACGACACUUAUGGAACGGUGGAGGCCGGAGACAUACCGUUUCCACCUCCGGACCGGGAAGAUGACCGUGAUACUUCAGGAUCUUUCCAUAAUCAUUGCACUUCCUAUUGAGGGGAAGCCACUUUGUAUGAGCAUUGAUUCUUGGUAUGGUUCCUCUAGAGCCUAAAGAGAACAUUAAAGAAAAAGUCAUAGCUGGCUCUCCGUACACGUGGAUCGUAGCAAACUUUGUGUAGUGGGGACGCUAAUGAUGAUGCAAUCCAGACUUAUGCUCGUGUGUA